Pongo abelii (Sumatran orangutan) is the source of this 150-nucleotide unclassified non-coding RNA. It matches the Rfam family "Metazoan signal recognition particle RNA". Rfam says of the family: The signal recognition particle (SRP) is a universally conserved ribonucleoprotein. It is involved in the co-translational targeting of proteins to membranes. Lineage: Eukaryota; Metazoa; Chordata; Mammalia; Primates; Hominidae. The record is from Ensembl.
GCCAGGUGUAGUGGUGUACACCUAUAAUCCUAGCUAUUCAGGAGGCUGAGGCAGAAGGAUUGUUUGAGCCUAGGAGCUGGAGGUUGCAGUGAGCUAUGAUCAUACCACUGUACUCUCCAGCCUGAGUGACAGAGCAAGACCCUGUCUCUU